This 2194-nucleotide ribosomal RNA is filed under the name Salmonella enterica. RNAcentral describes it as "partial 23S ribosomal RNA". It matches the Rfam family "Bacterial large subunit ribosomal RNA", at positions 711 to 2804 of the family's 2925-position model. The record is from RNAcentral. Lineage: Bacteria; Pseudomonadati; Pseudomonadota; Gammaproteobacteria; Enterobacterales; Enterobacteriaceae.
AGACCCGAAACCCGGUGAUCUAGCCAUGGGCAGGUUGAAGGUUGGGUAACACUAACUGGAGGACCGAACCGACUAAUGUUGAAAAAUUAGCGGAUGACCUGUGGCUGGGGGUGAAAGGCCAAUCAAACCGGGAGAUAGCUGGUUCUCCCCGAAAGCUAUUUAGGUAGCGCCUCGUGAAUUCAUCUCCGGGGGUAGAGCACUGUUUCGGCUAGGGGGCCAUCCCGGCUUACCAACCCGAUGCAAACUGCGAAUACCGGAGAAUGUUAUCACGGGAGACACACGGCGGGUGCUAACGUCCGUCGUGAAGAGGGAAACAACCCAGACCGCCAGCUAAGGUCCCAAAGUCAUGGUUAAGUGGGAAACGAUGUGGGAAGGCCCAGACAGCCAGGAUGUUGGCUUAGAAGCAGCCAUCAUUUAAAGAAAGCGUAAUAGCUCACUGGUCGAGUCGGCCUGCGCGGAAGAUGUAACGGGGCUAAACCAUGCACCGAAGCUGCGGCAGCGAACGUAUCACUUAAAGCGAUUCAGCGGAUGACGAUUGACGGAGCGAAGCGACGUCAAAGCGUAUACAAAGUCGAGUCGGUUUAAGGAUACGUUCGUUGGGUAGGGGAGCGUUCUGUAAGCCUGUGAAGGUGGCCUGUGAGGGUUGCUGGAGGUAUCAGAAGUGCGAAUGCUGACAUAAGUAACGAUAAAGCGGGUGAAAAGCCCGCUCGCCGGAAGACCAAGGGUUCCUGUCCAACGUUAAUCGGGGCAGGGUGAGUCGACCCCUAAGGCGAGGCCGAAAGGCGUAGUCGAUGGGAAACGGGUUAAUAUUCCCGUACUUGGUGUUACUGCGAAGGGGGGACGGAGAAGGCUAUGUUGGCCGGGCGACGGUUGUCCCGGUUUAAGCGUGUAGGUGUGUGUUCCAGGUAAAUCCGGUUCACUUUAACACUGAGGCGUGAUGACGAGGCACUACGGUGCUGAAGCAACAAAUGCCCUGCUUCCAGGAAAAGCCUCUAAGCAUCAGGUAACAUCAAAUCGUACCCCAAACCGACACAGGUGGUCAGGUAGAGAAUACCAAGGCGCUUGAGAGAACUCGGGUGAAGGAACUAGGCAAAAUGGUGCCGUAACUUCGGGAGAAGGCACGCUGACAUGUAGGUGAAGUGAUUUACUCAUGGAGCUGAAGUCAGUCGAAGAUACCAGCUGGCUGCAACUGUUUAUUAAAAACACAGCACUGUGCAAACACGAAAGUGGACGUAUACGGUGUGACGCCUGCCCGGUGCCGGAAGGUUAAUUGAUGGGGUCAGCGCAAGCGAAGCUCCUGAUCGAAGCCCCGGUAAACGGCGGCCGUAACUAUAACGGUCCUAAGGUAGCGAAAUUCCUUGUCGGGUAAGUUCCGACCUGCACGAAUGGCGUAAUGAUGGCCAGGCUGUCUCCACCCGAGACUCAGUGAAAUUGAACUCGCUGUGAAGAUGCAGUGUACCCGCGGCAAGACGGAAAGACCCCGUGAACCUUUACUAUAGCUUGACACUGAACAUUGAGCCUUGAUGUGUAGGAUAGGUGGGAGGCUUUGAAGUGUGGACGCCAGUCUGCAUGGAGCCGACCUUGAAAUACCACCCUUUAAUGUUUGAUGUUCUAACGUGGACCCGUAAUCCGGGUUGCGGACAGUGUCUGGUGGGUAGUUUGACUGGGGCGGUCUCCUCCUAAAGAGUAACGGAGGAGCACGAAGGUUGGCUAAUCCUGGUCGGACAUCAGGAGGUUAGUGCAAUGGCAUAAGCCAGCUUGACUGCGAGCGUGACGGCGCGAGCAGGUGCGAAAGCAGGUCAUAGUGAUCCGGUGGUUCUGAAUGGAAGGGCCAUCGCUCAACGGAUAAAAGGUACUCCGGGGAUAACAGGCUGAUACCGCCCAAGAGUUCAUAUCGACGGCGGUGUUUGGCACCUCGAUGUCGGCUCAUCACAUCCUGGGGCUGAAGUAGGUCCCAAGGGUAUGGCUGUUCGCCAUUUAAAGUGGUACGCGAGCUGGGUUUAGAACGUCGUGAGACAGUUCGGUCCCUAUCUGCCGUGGGCGCUGGAGAACUGAGGGGGGCUGCUCCUAGUACGAGAGGACCGGAGUGGACGCAUCACUGGUGUUCGGGUUGUCAUGCCAAUGGCACUGCCCGGUAGCUAAAUGCGGAAGAGAUAAGUGCUGAAAGCAUCUAAGCACGAAACUUGCCCCGAGA